Phacochoerus africanus (Common warthog) is the source of this 632-nucleotide long non-coding RNA. RefSeq lists it as uncharacterized. Lineage: Eukaryota; Metazoa; Chordata; Mammalia; Artiodactyla; Suidae. The record is from RefSeq and is a predicted model, not a curated record. The transcript has 3 exons.
AACCACAUGCCAGGGACGUGAGGACAGCCAUGGACGCACUUCAGCAGGACACCUUGGCUUCUGGCGCUCUCCCUGUGCCAAUUAGCAGUGAAGAAUCCUUCUGCUGAAAUAAUCCGAUUAUGAGGCACUGAAUAGCAGCCACAGACUGUCACAAUCAAAUCCUCAUCUGCAGAGAAAAGAAAAUCAACCCUCUUAGCAUCCUAGGGGUUGGCCUCCUGGAACAUAAGGCAUCUUCCUCUGACAGACAUGCUUCUGAGCCUUUGAGCUCAUGGCUCCUUGGAGACCAUCCCUGGACUCCUGGCCCCACUGUUUGCGAACUGGAGAUGGGCACUUGCUGUCCGCCUCUGCACUGAUUGAAUCAGGAGCCGCUGCAGCUGCCGACCCUUAGCACCCCCGAAAGGAGCUCAGGUGGAGACCAGGAGUGAGGCCGUCUGUGCUCUGGGAGAACUGGCAGGACAGAUCUCCAGAGAGUUAGAUAUUUUCAGGAGAAGAUUUUAUGAGCCUAAUUCUUGCAUCUCCUUGUAUCUGGAAAAGCACCAACAUCCUUCACAGUGACGCUGGCUCCUGGUGCCUAGCAGUGACCUUCAUGAGACUAGCAGCGACCUUCUGCAAAAUGUGUGUCUGGCUGCAUG